GAUGAACGCUGGCGGCGUGCCUAAUACAUGCAAGUCGAGCGAACAGAUAAGGAGCUUGCUCCUUUGACGUUAGCGGCGGACGGGUGAGUAACACGUGGAUAACCUACCUAUAAGACUGGGAUAACUUCGGGAAACCGGAGCUAAUACCGGAUAACAUAUUGAACCGCAUGGUUCAAUAGUGAAAGGCGGCUUUGCUGUCACUUAUAGAUGGAUCCGCGCCGUAUUAGCUAGUUGGUAAGGUAACGGCUUACCAAGGCAACGAUACGUAGCCGACCUGAGAGGGUGAUCGGCCACAAUGGAACUGAGACACGGUCCAGACUCCUGCGGGAGGCAGCAGUAGGGAAUCUUCCGCAAUGGGCGAAAGCCUGACGGAGCAACGCCGCGUGAGUGAUGAAGGUCUUCGGAUCGUAAAACUCUGUUAUCAGGGAAGAACAAAUGUGUAAGUAACUGUGCACAUCUUGACGGUACCUGAUCAGAAAGCCACGGCUAACUACGUG
This 497-nucleotide ribosomal RNA is filed under the name uncultured bacterium. Its description in RNAcentral is "partial 16S ribosomal RNA". It matches the Rfam family "Bacterial small subunit ribosomal RNA", at positions 28 to 507 of the family's 1533-position model. The record is from RNAcentral.